Molecule: ribosomal RNA, 883 nt
Filed under: uncultured archaeon
Lineage: Archaea
Description: bacterial SSU rRNA
Rfam family: Archaeal small subunit ribosomal RNA
Source: RNAcentral
CGAACGCACAGAACUAUGUCUGGGAGUGGCACACUGCUCAGUAACACGUAGCUAACCUACCCUUAGGACGUGGAUACCCCCGAGAAAUUGGGGUUAAUCCGCGAUAGAUGUAAUGUCCUGGAAUGGUAUUACGUCUAAAGGUAUUUCAUACAUGUUUGAAAUAUGCCUAAGGAUGGGGCUGCGGCCGAUCAGGCUGUUGGUGAGGUAAUGGCUCACCAAACCUUUGACCGGUACGGGCCAUGAGAGUGGUAGCCCGGAGAUGGACACUGAGACAAGGGUCCAGGCCCUAAGGGGCGCAGCAACCGCGAAACCUCCACAAUGCACUCACGUGCGAUGGGGCUAUCUCGAGUGCCACCUGAUGAAGGUGGCUUUUCCUUGGUCUUCAAAGCCUUGGGAAUAAGAGGGGGGCAAGACUGGUGUCAGCCGCCGCGGUAACACCAGCCCCUCGAGUGGUGGGGAUGAUUAUUUGGCCUAAAGCGUCCGUAGCCGGCCGUGAAAGUCUUCCGUUAAAUCCAGCGUCUCAAGCGUUGGACCGCGGGAGAUACUACAUGGCUAGAGAGUGGGAGAGGUCAGCGGUAUUCUGGGGGUAGGGGCGAAAUCCUUUGAUCCCCGGAGGACCACCAGUGGCGAAGGCUGCUGACUAGAACACGUCUGACGGUCAGGGACGAAAGCUGGGGUAGCGAACCGGAUUAGAUACCCGGGUAGUCCCAGCCGUAAACGAUGCAUGCUAGGUGUUGGGUUGGCCACGAGCCACCCCAGUGCCGCAGGGAAGCCGUUAAGCAUGCCGCCUGGGAAGUACGAUCGCAAGAUUGAAACUUAAAGGAAUUGGCGGGGGAGCACCACCAGGCGUGAAGCCUGCGGUUUAAUUGGAUUCAACGCCGGG